RNAcentral lists this ribosomal RNA (1344 nucleotides) under uncultured bacterium. RNAcentral describes it as "16S ribosomal RNA". It matches the Rfam family "Bacterial small subunit ribosomal RNA", at positions 28 to 1378 of the family's 1533-position model. The record is from RNAcentral.
GACGAACGCUGGCGGCGUGCUUAACACAUGCAAGUCGAACGGAAAGGCCCUGCUUUUGUGGGGUGCUCGAGUGGCGAACGGGUGAGUAACACGUGAGUAACCUGCCCUUGACUUUGGGAUAACUUCAGGAAACUGGGGCUAAUACCGGAUAGGAGCUCCUGCUGCAUGGUGGGGGUUGGAAAGUUUCGGCGGUUGGGGAUGGACUCGCGGCUUAUCAGCUUGUUGGUGGGGUAGUGGCUUACCAAGGCUUUGACGGGUAGCCGGCCUGAGAGGGUGACCGGCCACAUUGGGACUGAGAUACGGCCCAGACUCCUACGGGAGGCAGCAGUGGGGAAUAUUGCACAAUGGGCGGAAGCCUGAUGCAGCAACGCCGCGUGCGGGAUGACGGCCUUCGGGUUGUAAACCGCUUUCGCCUGUGACGAAGCGUGAGUGACGGUAAUGGGUAAAGAAGCACCGGCUAACUACGUGCCAGCAGCCGCGGUGAUACGUAGGGUGCGAGCGUUGUCCGGAUUUAUUGGGCGUAAAGGGCUCGUAGGUGGUUGAUCGCGUCGGAAGUGUAAUCUUGGGGCUUAACCCUGAGCGUGCUUUCGAUACGGGUUGACUUGAGGAAGGUAGGGGAGAAUGGAAUUCCUGGUGGAGCGGUGGAAUGCGCAGAUAUCAGGAGGAACACCAGUGGCGAAGGCGGUUCUCUGGGCCUUUCCUGACGCUGAGGAGCGAAAGCGUGGGGAGCGAACAGGCUUAGAUACCCUGGUAGUCCACGCUGUAAACGGUGGGUACCUAGGUGUGGGGUCCAUUCCACGGGUUCCGUGCCGUAGCUAACGCUUUAAGUACCCCGCCUGGGGAGUACGGCCGCAAGGCUAAAACUCAAAGGAAUUGACGGGGCCCCGCACAAGCGGCGGAGCAUGCGGAUUAAUUCGAUGCAACGCGUAGAACCUUACCUGGGUUUGACAUGGAUCGGGAGCGCUCAGAGAUGGGUGUGCCUCUUUUGGGGUCGGUUCACAGGUGGUGCAUGGCUGUCGUCAGCUCGUGUCGUGAGAUGUUGGGUUAAGUCCCGCAACGAGCGCAACCCUUGUUCACUGUUGCCAGCACGUUAUGGUGGGGACUCAGUGGAGACCGCCGGGGUCAACUCGGAGGAAGGUGGGGAUGACGACAAGUCAUCAUGCCCCUUAUGUCCAGGGCUUCACGCAUGCUACAAUGGCUGGUACAGAGAGUGGCGAGCCUGUGAGGGUGAGCGAAUCUCGGAAAGCCGGUCUCAGUUCGGAUUGGGGUCUGCAACUCGACCUCAUGAAGUCGGAGUCGCUAGUAAUCGCAGAUCAGCAACGCUGCGGUGAAUACGUUCCCGGG